UACAGAGGGUGCAAGCGUUAAUCGGAAUUACUGGGCGUAAAGCGCACGUAGGCGGAUAAGAAAGUUGGGUGUGAAAUCCCCGGGCUUAACCUGGGAACUGCAUUCAAAACUCCUUGUCUAGAGUAUGGUAGAGGAGAGUGGAAUUUCCGGUGUAGCGGUGAAAUGCGUAGAUAUCGGAAGGAACACCAGUGGCGAAGGCGACUCUCUGGACCAAUACUGACGCUGAGGUGCGAAAGCGUGGGGAGCAAAC
This 250-nucleotide ribosomal RNA is filed under the name uncultured bacterium. RNAcentral describes it as "partial 16S ribosomal RNA". It matches the Rfam family "Bacterial small subunit ribosomal RNA", at positions 524 to 773 of the family's 1533-position model. The record is from RNAcentral.